Molecule: unclassified non-coding RNA, 228 nt
Filed under: Hevea brasiliensis (rubber tree)
Lineage: Eukaryota; Viridiplantae; Streptophyta; Magnoliopsida; Malpighiales; Euphorbiaceae
Source: RNAcentral
CCUCAAUCUUUACAGGAACACGUAAGAAAUCAAGGGAUAAUUUAUAAUCUGAACAAAUAUUAUCAACAAAGGUAGAAGAAAACUUGUUGUAGCUCAAGCUUUGCACAAAAUACCCAGAUAUGGUUUUGGUUCUCUGGCAAUGGAGAUUCAUGAAAGCUGACUGAUAAGUGAGACUAUUAACUUCCUUGGAAAGAAGCCUGCAUUUAGCUAGAGUUUUCAAGGAUGAAC